Molecule: ribosomal RNA, 1455 nt
Filed under: uncultured organism
Description: 16S ribosomal RNA
Rfam family: Bacterial small subunit ribosomal RNA
Source: RNAcentral
CGGCAGGCCUAACACAUGCAAGUCGAGCGGUAGCACAGAGAGCUUGCUCUCGGGUGACGAGCGGCGGACGGGUGAGUAAUGUCUGGGAAACUGCCUGAUGGAGGGGGAUAACUACUGGAAACGGUAGCUAAUACCGCAUAACGUCGCAAGACCAAAGUGGGGGACCUUCGGGCCUCAUGCCAUCAGAUGUGCCCAGAUGGGAUUAGCUAGUAGGUGGGGUAACGGCUCACCUAGGCGACGAUCCCUAGCUGGUCUGAGAGGAUGACCAGCCACACUGGAACUGAGACACGGUCCAGACUCCUACGGGAGGCAGCAGUGGGGAAUAUUGCACAAUGGGCGCAAGCCUGAUGCAGCCAUGCCGCGUGUAUGAAGAAGGCCUUCGGGUUGUAAAGUACUUUCAGCGGGGAGGAAGGCGAUAAGGUUAAUAACCUUGUCGAUUGACGUUACCCGCAGAAGAAGCACCGGCUAACUCCGUGCCAGCAGCCGCGGUAAUACGGAGGGUGCAAGCGUUAAUCGGAAUUACUGGGCGUAAAGCGCACGCAGGCGGUCUGUCAAGUCGGAUGUGAAAUCCCCGGGCUCAACCUGGGAACUGCAUUCGAAACUGGCAGGCUAGAGUCUUGUAGAGGGGGGUAGAAUUCCAGGUGUAGCGGUGAAAUGCGUAGAGAUCUGGAGGAAUACCGGUGGCGAAGGCGGCCCCCUGGACAAAGACUGACGCUCAGGUGCGAAAGCGUGGGGAGCAAACAGGAUUAGAUACCCAGGUAGUCCACGCCGUAAACGAUGUCGAUUUGGAGGUUGUGCCCUUGAGGCGUGGCUUCCGGAGCUAACGCGUUAAAUCGACCGCCUGGGGAGCACGGCCGCAAGGUUAAAACUCAAAUGAAUUGACGGGGGCCCGCACAAGCGGUGGAGCAUGUGGUUUAAUUCGAUGCAACGCGAAGAACCUUACCUGGUCUUGACAUCCACAGAACUUAGCAGAGAUGCUUUGGUGCCUUCGGGAACUGUGAGACAGGUGCUGCAUGGCUGUCGUCAGCUCGUGUUGUGAAAUGUUGGGUUAAGUCCCGCAACGAGCGCAACCCUUAUCCUUUGUUGCCAGCGGUUAGGCCGGGAACUCAAAGGAGACUGCCAGUGAUAAACUGGAGGAAGGUGGGGAUGACGUCAAGUCAUCAUGGCCCUUACGACCAGGGCUACACACGUGCUACAAUGGCAUAUACAAAGAGAAGCGACCUCGCGAGAGCAAGCGGACCUCAUAAAGUAUGUCGUAGUCCGGAUUGGAGUCUGCAACUCGACUCCAUGAAGUCGGAAUCGCUAGUAAUCGUAGAUCAGAAUGCUACGGUGAAUACGUUCCCGGGCCUUGUACACACCGCCCGUCACACCAUGGGAGUGGGUUGCAAAAGAAGUAGGUAGCUUAACCUUCGGGAGGGCGCUUACCACUUUGUGAUUCAUGACUGGGGUGAAGUC